Molecule: ribosomal RNA, 464 nt
Filed under: Vreelandella stevensii
Lineage: Bacteria; Pseudomonadati; Pseudomonadota; Gammaproteobacteria; Oceanospirillales; Halomonadaceae
Description: partial 16S ribosomal RNA
Rfam family: Bacterial small subunit ribosomal RNA
Source: RNAcentral
CCUACGGGUGGCUGCAGUGGGGAAUAUUGGACAAUGGGCGAAAGCCUGAUCCAGCCAUGCUGCGUGUGUGAAGAAGGCCCUCGGGUUGUAAAGCACUUUCAGUGGGGAAGAAAGCCUUGGGGCUAAUACCCUCGAGGAAGGACAUCACCCACAGAAGAAGCACCGGCUAACUCCGUGCCAGCAGCCGCGGUAAUACGGAGGGUGCGAGCGUUAAUCGGAAUUACUGGGCGUAAAGCGCGCGUAGGCGGUCUGAUAAGCCGGUUGUGAAAGCCCCGGGCUCAACCUGGGAACGGCAUCCGGAACUGUCAGGCUAGAGUGCAGGAGAGGAAGGUAGAAUUCCCGGUGUAGCGGUGAAAUGCGUAGAGAUCGGGAGGAAUACCAGUGGCGAAGGCGGCCUUCUGGACUGACACUGACGCUGAGGUGCGAAAGCGUGGGUAGCAAACAGGAUUAGAUACCCGAGUAGU